GUUGCAUCUGAGGUUAUUUGUCCUUUUCAUGGUUAAUUAAUUAUAUUAUACAGACAAUUGUUACUAUUAGCGGAGACAUCUUUUAAUAUACGACUAAAUGAAUGAAGGGUUGGUGCACAAAUCUUACCAGACACAAUCUGAUUGUGUAGGAGUUUGUGUUUUUUCACAAAAACACUCGAGGUGCCUAUCCGAGAACUCUCAUCAUCCUCAUCAUCAUCGCCCUCCCACACAGCGUGAUGUCUGGCCAUGUGGCAGAAUCGUUCCCACUGACUAUUUUGGCCGUGGUCCUCAUUCUCUGGAUUCAUUUGAAUCUAUUCAUUCAAAACAUCCCUUGCUUAACCUUUGCAUAUCUUUUUCAAAUCGCAAGUAAGGGAAUCACUGAGCUCUGGUGACCUUUCCUGCAGUCCCAUUCGCUCAACACGGUUCCCCUCAAAUCAUCCGCGGCAGUCUGCCAGUGCACACGGGACCAGUUGCCUCCCCUUGACUUUAGUGGCAGUAGCAAUCGAUUUUUGUAUGAUCCAUGCCUUCCUGCAGAACCCGUCUUCAUCAUCCAAAAGUGCAUGUUCUGGGUUUGUGCGUGACAGAAGAAAACCAGUUACCUCCAGGAUUGGAAUUGCUGCAGCGCUGCACCAUGACUCUGUUUUGAAAUGAGGAAAUUACAGAGGUGAUUCACGAGACAACAUAAUUGCUGUUCUAUUAAGCAAAUGAGCACCCACGAGGCCUCCCAAAAGGCAGAACAGGAGUUGCACCGUUGCAUCUGGCAUGGAGACGGUGGACCAUGUGCUCUGUGCUCUCGCCAUCUCCACAGCAGAGGACAGGCUGCUGAACAUUAUGGACGACCAGCAUGAAUCCCUGGCAGCCAUCUACGACUCCCCGAACUGCGGUGCUCAGGUUUUGACAGGACCACACUCGGGCUGUCCUAGGACAGUGUGACGGAUGAUUCUCAAGAUGUGAGGGGGGGGAGACGCCUCCGGGGUUGACAACUUUCCCACAUGACCAAUCUGUUGGCCAGCCAAAAUGUCCUCUGUAAAAUAAAAAGUGACUUCAUAAUACUGAUAGAAGGUUACUUUAUAACUUUUAUUUGUUAGCACCGUCAGUUUAUCGUUCUUUAAAAACCAACAACUAGUGACAAUAGUUUUUAUGUUUAGGUUUGAGAUAGCACUCA
This is a long non-coding RNA of Gasterosteus aculeatus aculeatus (three-spined stickleback), 1165 nucleotides long. The record is from Ensembl. NCBI's taxonomy places the organism in Eukaryota, Metazoa, Chordata, Actinopteri, Perciformes, Gasterosteidae.